This is a small nuclear RNA of Jaculus jaculus (lesser Egyptian jerboa), 103 nucleotides long. Lineage: Eukaryota; Metazoa; Chordata; Mammalia; Rodentia; Dipodidae. The record is from Ensembl.
CUGCUUUGGCAGCACAUAUACUAAAACUGGAAUGGUACAUAGAAGAUUAGCAUGGCACCUGUGCCAGGAUGACACAAAAAUUUGUGAGGCAUUCCAUAUUUAA